AUGGUGUCUGAGAUUAUGGACCUAGUGGACAGGAACGUGCAUCAGUGCUGGUUCCUCCGCUUUCUGGUGGCAGUUCCCGAAUGUGCUGUGUCUGCUCUGACCAUGCAGGAGCUGAGCACAGGCGUGGUGGCCUCCUCCCAGACCCUCUCCCUCACCUGCUCUGUCUCUGGGGGCUCUGUCACCAGCAGUUACCCCUGGUAUUGGAUCCACCAGCACCCUGGGAAAGGGUUGGAAUGGAUGGGGUACUGGUCAUGUGGUACCAGCUACAACCAAGCAUUCCAGGGCCACAUCUCCAUCACGACUGACAGCUCCAAGAACCAGUUAACUUAG
This is a non-coding RNA of Sorex fumeus (smoky shrew), 330 nucleotides long. The record is from the annotation of a RefSeq genome assembly. Lineage: Eukaryota; Metazoa; Chordata; Mammalia; Eulipotyphla; Soricidae.